This 406-nucleotide ribosomal RNA is filed under the name uncultured bacterium. RNAcentral's name for it is "partial 16S ribosomal RNA". It matches the Rfam family "Bacterial small subunit ribosomal RNA", at positions 30 to 526 of the family's 1533-position model. The record is from RNAcentral.
AUUGAACGCUGGCGGCAGGCCUAACACAUGCAAGUCGAGCGAGUGGCGGACGGGUGAGUAAUGUAUGGGGAUCUGCCCGAUGGCGGGGGAUAACUACUGGAAACGGUAGCUAAUACCGCAUACCAUCAGAUUGACCCAUAUGGGAUUAGCUUGUAGGUGGGGUAAAGGCUCACCUAGGCGACGAUCCCUAGCUGGUCUGAGAGGAUGACCAGCCACACGGGGACUGAGACACGGCCCAGACUCCUACGGGAGGCAGCAGUGGGGAAUAUUGCACAAUGGGGGCAAGCCUGAUGCAGCCAUGCCGCGUGUAUGAAGAAGGCCUUCGGGUUGUAAAGUACUUUCAGUCGGGAGGCGUUACCGGCAGAAGAAGCACCGGCUAACUACGUGCCAGCAGCCGCGGUAAUAC